CCUACGGGAGGCAGCAGUGGGGAAUUUUGGACAAUGGGGGCAACCCUGAUCCAGCAAUGCCGCGUGAGUGAAGAAGGCCUUCGGGUUGUAAAGCUCUUUUGUCAGGGAAGAAACAGCAGCUCUAACACAGCUGUGAAUGACGGUACCUGAAGAAUAAGCACCGGCUAACUACGUGCCAGCAGCCGCGGUAAUACGUAGGGUGCAAGCGUUAAUCGGAAUUACUGGGCGUAAAGCGUGCGCAGGCGGUUAUAUAAGACAGGUGUGAAAUCCCCGGGCUUAACCUGGGAAUUGCAUCUGUGACUGUAUAGCUAGAGUGUGUCAGAGGGGGGUAGAAUUCCACGUGUAGCAGUGAAAUGCGUAGAUAUGUGGAGGAAUACCAAUGGCGAAGGCAGCCCCCUGGGAUAACACUGACGCUCAUGCACGAAAGCGUGGGGAGCAAACAGGAUUAGAUACCCUGGUAGUCCACGCCCUAAACGAUGCUGACUGUUGUUCGGGAUUUUAUCCUGAGUAACGUAGCUAACGCGUGAAGUCNGCGCCGUGGUAGUUAGUUCGUCGAGAGUUAAACGUUAAAGGUUAAGUUAGACGGCGUUGAGACGNGCCGACGGACGACGACGAGGGAGGAGG
RNAcentral lists this ribosomal RNA (624 nucleotides) under uncultured bacterium. Its description in RNAcentral is "bacterial SSU rRNA". The stretch from base 1 to 537 matches the Rfam family "Bacterial small subunit ribosomal RNA", at positions 338 to 873 of the family's 1533-position model. The record is from RNAcentral.